GUUUUCUAUGUAUUUAUAAAUAUUUAUAUGUUAUAUGUACCUAUAUAUCGGUGGUGGCCGAGUGGAUAUGCCGCCCGACUUUCAAUCCGGAGGUCGCGGGUUCAAAUCCUGGCUCGUACUAAUGAGUUUUUCGGAACUUAUGUACGAAAUAUCAUUUGAUAUUUACCACUAGCUUUUCGGUGAAGGAAAACAUCGUGAGGAAACCUGCAUACAUCUGCGAAGAAAUUCAAAGGUGUAUGUGAAGUCCCCAAUCCGCAUUGGGCUAGCGUGGGGACUAUAGCCCAAGCCCUCUCGCGCAUGAGAGGAGGCCUGUGCCCAGCAGUGGGACGUAUAAAGGCUGAAUUAUUAUUAUUAUUUUGC
This is a long non-coding RNA of Cydia amplana, 360 nucleotides long. RefSeq lists it as uncharacterized. Lineage: Eukaryota; Metazoa; Arthropoda; Insecta; Lepidoptera; Tortricidae. The transcript has 2 exons. The record is from RefSeq and is a predicted model, not a curated record.